Molecule: ribosomal RNA, 150 nt
Filed under: Glossina morsitans morsitans
Lineage: Eukaryota; Metazoa; Arthropoda; Insecta; Diptera; Glossinidae
Description: eukaryotic large subunit ribosomal RNA
Rfam family: Eukaryotic large subunit ribosomal RNA
Source: RNAcentral
GAUAAUUGGCUUGUGGCGGCCAAGCCUUCAGAGCGUCGUAUGGGUUGAUAUGGGUUCUUGCUAUCAUUGUGAAGCAAAAUACUCCAACCGUUAGACUAUUCACCCAUACAAGUCAAUGUGAGCUGGGUUUAGACCGUCAUGAGACAGAUU